Long non-coding RNA from Oncorhynchus tshawytscha (Chinook salmon), 969 nucleotides. RefSeq lists it as uncharacterized. The record is from RefSeq and is a predicted model, not a curated record. NCBI's taxonomy places the organism in Eukaryota, Metazoa, Chordata, Actinopteri, Salmoniformes, Salmonidae. The transcript is spliced from 3 exons.
GGGAGGGGUUAACAUUUGUUUUGACAUAGAGAAGCCACAGCAGUUGACAGUGCUGGAGAGACUAAAAAACGGCUUUUUGCAUUUCAUCAGACAAUUUAGCUAACUACGUUGUGUAUCUGUGACAUCUCCGUGUGAAAUGGUGUGACUGAUCAUCAACUCCUGCAGUUACGUGUUGCGGCGCAUCCGGGCUGCAGUGAGAAGGGGAGAGCAGCCAGAGAAGCCCACCGCAGAAUGUAGCCAGGCCAAGGCGUGGAAGGAGGAGGGUAUGCAGAAGAAUGGACAGGUGGAGCCGGUGUUCAAACCCCUGGCAACGGAGCCGGAACCAGGCCUGAAGGUGGCAGAGUGUGCCUCUGGUGAAUGACGUUAGAAAGGGACAGAUAGAAAACAGGAGAGAGUGUGGAGGAAGGGAUGAGAGCAACAACUGUGUAAAAGAUGCACUGACUCAGUUGCAUUAUUAUCUGUUUUCUGUAAGACUAUAGCAGCAACCUCAUAUGUUGUCCUAUCACAUGCUAUGGAGAGACGGCCACUGCAUUAACUUAUGCUUGCUCAUGCCAGGUCAGUAUGAGGAAUUACAUGCAUGUACUGCAUGUUUUCUCUGGCUCAGUAUGAAAUUGUAUGACACUGACCUUGCACAUACAGAUGCAUUCACCUGCUAGUACAACAGAUCACAUUUACUGUGGAAAAAUUAUUCACACAUUAGGUGCACACACACACACACUCUUCCCCUCCCACUCCUCUCCUGUGGCCAGGUCUCUGUCCUCUAAGGUAGUUGAAGGUCAGAGUAAAAGAGUAACAAGCAGUAGCAGGCAACGAAGAGAAUGAUUGCCUGGACAUCAAUUCCCCACCAGAGGAAAUGCCCAGGCAGGAAAACAUAAACAAACCUUCUGCUGUUCAUAAAGAUACUGCCUCUAUUUUUCACUGUAUUCUGGGAGAUGUGCAUUUUCAAUAAACAAAGUACUCUUGCCUCCA